Molecule: ribosomal RNA, 404 nt
Filed under: uncultured bacterium
Lineage: Bacteria
Description: bacterial SSU rRNA
Rfam family: Bacterial small subunit ribosomal RNA
Source: RNAcentral
AAUGAACGUUGGCGGCGUGGAUUAGGCAUGCAAGUCGAGCGCUCAUAGCAAUAUGGGAGCGGCGAACGGCGUAGUAAGACGUAGGAACGUACCCUCGGGUCGGGGAUAGCUACGGGAAACUGUAGGUAAUACCCGAUAAUCUCUGCGGAGCAAAGGUGUGAUUCCGCCUGAGGAGCGGCUUACGCGAUAUUAGCUAGUUGGUGGGGUAAUGGCCUACCAAGGCGAUGAUGUCUAGGGGGUGUGAGAGCAUGGCCCCCACGACCGGAACUGAGAUACUGUCCGGACACCUACGGGUGGGCUGCAGUCGAGAAUCUUCCGCAAUGGACGAAAGUCUGACGGAGCGACGCCGCGUGCGGGAUGAAGGCCCUUCGGGUUGUAAACCGACUGUCAGAGGGGAGUGAAAU